This 465-nucleotide ribosomal RNA is filed under the name Vreelandella stevensii. Its description in RNAcentral is "partial 16S ribosomal RNA". It matches the Rfam family "Bacterial small subunit ribosomal RNA", at positions 338 to 795 of the family's 1533-position model. The record is from RNAcentral. Lineage: Bacteria; Pseudomonadati; Pseudomonadota; Gammaproteobacteria; Oceanospirillales; Halomonadaceae.
CCUACGGGGAGCUGCAGUGGGGAAUAUUGGACAAUGGGCGAAAGCCUGAUCCAGCCAUGCCGCGUGUGUGAAGAAGGCCUUCGGGUUGUAAAGCACUUUCAGUGGGGAAGAAAGCCUUGGGGCUAAUACCCUCGAGGAAGGACAUCACCCACAGAAGAAGCACCGGCUAACUCCGUGCCAGCAGCCGCGGUAAUACGGAGGGUGCGAGCGUUAAUCGGAAUUACUGGGCGUAAAGCGCGCGUAGGCGGUCUGAUAAGCCGGUUGUGAAAGCCCCGGGCUCAACCUGGGAACGGCAUCCGGAACUGUCAGGCUAGAGUGCAGGAGAGGGAGGUAGAAUUCCCGGUGUAGCGGUGAAAUGCGUAGAGAUCGGGAGGAAUACCAGUGGCGAAGGCGGCCUUCUGGACUGACACUGACGCUGAGGUGCGAAAGCGUGGGUAGCAAACAGGAUUAGAUACCCCUGUAGUC